GACGAACGCUGGCGGCGUGCCUAAUACAUGCAAGUCGAACGCAGUGGGGACGGGUGAGUAACACGUGGGUAACCUCCCAUCAGAGGGGAUAACACUUGGAAACAGGUGCUAAACCGAUACUGAUGGAUGGACCCGCGGUGCAUUAGCUAGUUGGUGAGGUAACGGCUCACCAAGGCCACGAUGCAUAGCGGACCUGGGAGGGGGAUCGGCCAAACUGGGAUUGAGACACGGCCAAGACCCCUACGGGGGGCAGCAGUAGGGAAUCUUGGGAAAUGGACGAAAGUCGGACGGAGAAACGCCGCGUGAGUGAAGAAGGUUGUCGGUCCGUAAAACUCUGUGGUUAGAGAAGCGGUAUCUACCAGAAAGCCACGGCUAACUACGUGCCAGCCGCCGCGGUAAUUC
Molecule: ribosomal RNA, 402 nt
Filed under: uncultured bacterium
Lineage: Bacteria
Description: partial 16S ribosomal RNA
Rfam family: Bacterial small subunit ribosomal RNA
Source: RNAcentral